RNAcentral lists this unclassified non-coding RNA (353 nucleotides) under Hevea brasiliensis (rubber tree). Lineage: Eukaryota; Viridiplantae; Streptophyta; Magnoliopsida; Malpighiales; Euphorbiaceae. The record is from RNAcentral.
CUUCUGCAAGAGAUUUUACAUCAUCUUCGUGAUCUAAGAAGUGUAGAACUCCGAGUGAGGAACAUGGGGGAUGGUGCUCUAUAAUGACAUUGUGCUCAACUAUGUCAAAGAAGAUAUCAGAUUGCAUUGUGGAAGCUGAUUAAAACUGAUGCAGGUUGUAGAUGGGAGACCCUGACUUUCUUCUUCAUAUGAUACAAUCAUACAAGAUCAAAUGCAAUGCCAAAUUUUUCAGCAAAAUAUUUCAUAUGGGAAGUCCCUUGAUGGAGAGGGAGGCUUCUGCUAUGAUCUGUUUGGAGGUCAUGGUGGACUGCAAGAUAUGAAAGUCUGCCUAUUUUCCCUUCUUUUUUUUUUUU